UGAAUCACAAGUGAUCAAAGUCUGAUAUUACAACAGAUUACUAUUAAAAUAUGAAUGGCUUGAACAUACAGUAUAUACAUACAAUCAUAACAAUAAAUAACACUAAAAUUAGAAAAGCAGCUUUGUCUGUAAAAUCAAUGAAAAUGAAAAAAUCUUUUAGGUUAAAGUAGUAACUGGUUGUUAAAGGGUGAGCUCACCCAAAUUAGAAACAUUCAUAUUCUCUCUAGUAUCAUCUCUUCUUUACUUUAUGAAUGUCUCUGCAAACUGCAAAAGGUGUUCCCAAGGUUUAGUCUCCAACCUUUAAUUUGGCUGGUAAAAUGACUCCGCUGUUAUGUUAAUUAACAAAAAUUAAAUUCUCAGGUGGUGUCCGUACAAUUUACAGCUGGCAGAGUAAGCAGUACUUAAAAUAAAUAGAACGCUGCUUUUGAAUGUCACAAUUAUUUCUGCAAAUUGUUGGUUAGCAAUGUCAAGUACGGGCACAAAUGUAAAUACAAUUUGUGUAGAAGAACUAAAAAAGAACCCUGGAAGUCAUCAAGAAGUAGCAUUAUACUUGUAUCUAUUAUUAUUCUUUUCAUGUAGAAAUAAGUUUGAUAGGUACAAACCUAUCAUUUUUUAAUAAUAUGUAGACAACCAAACAGUCCUUGAUACUAAUUUACAGAAAAUAAUCAAUAUUUAUGUUAGAAUGGUAAUUAAAUUCCAAUGAAAACUGCUGCCAGUGUGUUCUAGAUACCACUAGAGUUACAGAUAGUGUUUUUUUGUAACUUGGGUGAACUGGCCCUUUAACAGCGAGGAACGAACCGGAUGAAGAGCUGAGUUGUUAAGCUUCAGGUGUGUCUCAGAACUACAGCAGGUAGUGAACGUCCAGCAAGUCUAGACAUCGAAAAUCAUUCAAAAGUUCCCCAUAUGCACUGCAAAAAGAAGUGCGUGCUCACUGACUGGAUGGACUUAUCAGCCAGAGUUCCCUGUGUUCCUCUAAACUUAGUCUGGUUAUAAACUGAUUAAAUGCAAGAAUAUUGUGGGCCAUG
Molecule: long non-coding RNA, 1025 nt
Organism: Sander lucioperca (pikeperch)
Lineage: Eukaryota; Metazoa; Chordata; Actinopteri; Perciformes; Percidae
Exons: 2
Source: RefSeq, a predicted model, not a curated record